RNAcentral lists this ribosomal RNA (492 nucleotides) under uncultured bacterium. Its description in RNAcentral is "partial 16S ribosomal RNA". It matches the Rfam family "Bacterial small subunit ribosomal RNA", at positions 29 to 507 of the family's 1533-position model. The record is from RNAcentral.
AGUGAACGCUGGCGGUAGGCCUAACACAUGCAAGUCGAACGGCAGCACAGUAAGAGCUUGCUCUUACGGGUGGCGAGUGGCGGACGGGUGAGGAAUACAUCGGAAUCUACUUUUUCGUGGGGGAUAACGUAGGGAAACUUACGCUAAUACCGCAUACGACCUACGGGUGAAAGCAGGGGAUCUUCGGGCCUUGCGCGAUUGAAUGAGCCGAUGUCGGAUUAGCUAGUUGGCGGGGUAAAGGCCCACCAAGGCGACGAUCCGUAGCUGGUCUGAGAGGAUGAUCAGCCACACUGGAACUGAGACACGGUCCAGACUCCUACGGGAGGCAGCAGUGGGGAAUAUUGGACAAUGGGCGAAAGCCUGAUCCAGCCAUACCGCGUGGGUGAAGAAGGCCUUCGGGUUGUAAAGCCCUUUUGUUGGGAAAGAAAAGCAGCAGGUUAAUACCCCGCUGUUCUGACGGUACCCAAAGAAUAAGCACCGGCUAACUUCGUG